CAGGUGCCAGCAGCCGCGGUAAUUCCAGCUCCAAUAGCGUAUAUUAAAGUUGUUGCAGUUAAAAAGCUCGUAGUUGAAUUUCUGGUCGUGGCGAUCGGUCCGUCCCUCACGGGGCGUGCACCUGGUCUCUACGUCCAUCCUCGGGGAGAGCACGCCUGGCAUUUAGUUGUCGGGUGUGGGAUCCUCGUCAUUUACUGUGAGCAAAAUAGAGUGUUCAAAGCAGGCUUAGGCCGUUGAAUACAUUAGCAUGGAAUAAUA
RNAcentral lists this ribosomal RNA (258 nucleotides) under Euplotes focardii. RNAcentral describes it as "partial Eukaryotic small subunit ribosomal RNA". It matches the Rfam family "Eukaryotic small subunit ribosomal RNA", at positions 561 to 819 of the family's 1831-position model. The record is from RNAcentral. Lineage: Eukaryota; Ciliophora; Spirotrichea; Euplotida; Euplotidae.